Oncorhynchus keta (chum salmon) is the source of this 514-nucleotide long non-coding RNA. RefSeq lists it as uncharacterized. NCBI's taxonomy places the organism in Eukaryota, Metazoa, Chordata, Actinopteri, Salmoniformes, Salmonidae. The transcript is spliced from 3 exons. The record is from RefSeq and is a predicted model, not a curated record.
UACGACACACCAGGACUAGAAUACGACACACCUGGUCCAGGACCAGAAUACGACACACCAGGUCCAGGAUCAGAAUACGACACACCUGGUCCAGGACCAGAAUACGACACACCUGGUCCAGGAUCAGAAUACGACACACCUGGACCAGAAUACGACACACCUGGUCCAGGAUCAGAAUACGACACACCUGGUCCAGGAUCAGAAUACGACACACCUGGUCCAGGAUCAGAAUACGACACACCAGGUCCAGGAUCAUAAUACGACACACCUGGUCCAGGACCAGAAUACGACACACCUGGUCCAGGACCAGAAUACGACACACCUGGUCCAGGACCAGAAUACGACACACCUGGUCCAGGACCAGAAUACGACACACCUGGUCCAGGACCAGAAUACGACACACCUGGUCCAGGACCAGAAUACGACACACCUGGUCCAGGACCAGAAUACGACACACCAGGUCCUGGACCAGAAUACGACACACCAGGACUAGGUACACAUACAAUGCUCUCUG